RNAcentral lists this non-coding RNA (21 nucleotides) under Arabidopsis thaliana (thale cress). The record is from RNAcentral. Lineage: Eukaryota; Viridiplantae; Streptophyta; Magnoliopsida; Brassicales; Brassicaceae.
UGAAUAUAAUCUUUAGGCGCC